RNAcentral lists this ribosomal RNA (427 nucleotides) under uncultured bacterium. Its description in RNAcentral is "bacterial SSU rRNA". It matches the Rfam family "Bacterial small subunit ribosomal RNA", at positions 355 to 774 of the family's 1533-position model. The record is from RNAcentral.
UGGGGAAUUUUGGACAAUGGGCGCAAGCCUGAUCCAGCCAUUCCGCGUGCAGGACGAAGGCCUUCGGGUUAUAAACUGCUUUUGUACGGAACGAAAAGCCCUUCUCUAAUACAGAGGGGUCAUGACGGUACCGUAAGAAUAAGCACCGGCUAACUACGUGCCAGCAGCCGCGGUAAUACGUAGGGUGCAAGCGUUAAUCGGAAUUACUGGGCGUAAAGCGUGCGCAGGCGGUUUUGUAAGACAGAGGCGAAAUCCCCGGGCUCAACCUGGGAACUGCCUUUGUGACUGCAAGGCUGGAGUGCGGCAGAGGGGGAUGGAAUUCCGCGUGUAGCAGUGAAAUGCGUAGAUAUGCGGAGGAACACCGAUGGCGAAGGCAAUCCCCUGGGCCUGCACUGACGCUCAUGCACGAAAGCGUGGGGAGCAAACA